CUUACACAUGCAAGUCGAACGGCAGCACGGGUGCUUGCACCUGGUGGCGAGUGGCGAACGGGUGAGUAAUACAUCGGAACAUGUCCUGUAGUGGGGGAUAGCCCGGCGAAAGCCGGAUUAAUACCGCAUACGAUCUACGGAUGAAAGCGGGGGACCUUCGGGCCUCGCGCUAUAGGGUUGGCCGAUGGCUGAUUAGCUAGUUGGUGGGGUAAAGGCCUACCAAGGCGACGAUCAGUAGCUGGUCUGAGAGGACGACCAGCCACACUGGGACUGAGACACGGCCCAGACUCCUACGGGAGGCAGCAGUGGGGAAUUUUGGACAAUGGGCGAAAGCCUGAUCCAGCAAUGCCGCGUGUGUGAAGAAGGCCUUCGGGUUGUAAAGCACUUUUGUCCGGAAAGAAAUCCUUGGUUCUAAUAUAGCCGGGGGAUGACGGUACCGGAAGAAUAAGCACCGGCUAACUACGUGCCAGCAGCCGCGGUAAUACGUAGGGUGCGAGCGUUAAUCGGAAUUACUGGGCGUAAAGCGUGCGCAGGCGGUUUGCUAAGACCGAUGUGAAAUCCCCGGGCUCAACCUGGGAACUGCAUUGGUGACUGGCAGGCUAGAGUAUGGCAGAGGGGGGUAGAAUUCCACGUGUAGCAGUGAAAUGCGUAGAGAUGUGGAGGAAUACCGAUGGCGAAGGCAGCCCCUGGGCCAAUACUGACGCUCAUGC
Molecule: ribosomal RNA, 710 nt
Filed under: uncultured beta proteobacterium
Lineage: Bacteria; Pseudomonadati; Pseudomonadota; Betaproteobacteria
Description: bacterial SSU rRNA
Rfam family: Bacterial small subunit ribosomal RNA
Source: RNAcentral